Molecule: long non-coding RNA, 977 nt
Filed under: Homo sapiens (human)
Lineage: Eukaryota; Metazoa; Chordata; Mammalia; Primates; Hominidae
Description: HSALNT0188218
Source: RNAcentral
AGACAGUCAAGCUGAUAGCCUACUUGUUCUAGCACAGACAUUGUUUAACUGUGACAAUAGUGGGCCUGUAUUCCUUGCCAUGGGGUGCAAUGUAGUAUGUCAUCACAAUGGUUAGUUCUCUGAUUUGUGCCCAGUUGUUAGUAAAGCUUGUAGUGCCUCUUAAAAUGUUAGUAUCAUGUUAGUGUCAUUUCCCCCUUACCAUUCUUUUCCUUUUCUUUCUUUUUUUUUUAAAAAGACAGUAUUUCAUUUUGUCCUCCAGGCUGAGUGCAGUGGCAAACUGCUGGGCUCAAGUGAUACCCCCACCUCAGCCUGAGUAGCUGAGACUAUAGGUGUACACCACCACAGCUGGCUUUUUGUUUUUCCUUCGGUAGAGAUGUGGCUUCCCUAUGUUAUGUUGUCCAAGCUGAUCUCGAACUCCUGGCCUCAAGCAGUCAUCCUGCCCCAGCCUCCUAGAGUGCUGGGAUUACAGGCAUGAGCCACUGCACCUGGCCUGUCAUUCCUGUUUUUGUGUAUACGGUCCAUGUGGUCUUAAAACCUUUCCUGAACGUGUCUCAGUUGAAUUUCCCAAGAACCUUGUGGGCUGGGUUUAGUGGCGGAUAUUACUAAUAUUUUACAGAUAAGGGGAACUACUGAAAUGCAGAAAGGUGGCAAGCAUACAGCUCAUUAUUGUGGUGCCAGAAUCAAAAUACAAGUUUCAAACUCCAUCACUGGGAAGUUGAGCUUUCCAGUGUCUCAUGCUAUGUUUGGCUCAGUGGGUAGACAUCCUUGUUCCUAACCAAUGCUGUAGAACUAUCACCUGAGAAAUGAUGCAAGUUUUUACUGCCAGCCAAGAGACAGUGUUGCCAUUCCAGUUAGUAGGAGAGGAAAUGCCAGUUCUUCAGGGCAUUUUGACACAAAUAGGACAAGUUGCACACAUAAUGUUAUUUAAACAUCCAGAAAGAGUUGUCUUUAAAUAUAGCCAUGCUUAUUUAUAACCC